AUUAAUAUAGUAUAAUUUAUUACAAUUAACUUCCAAUUAAAAAAUCUUAAAAAAUUAAGUGUUAAUA
Molecule: transfer RNA, 67 nt
Filed under: Gasteruption tournieri
Lineage: Eukaryota; Metazoa; Arthropoda; Insecta; Hymenoptera; Gasteruptiidae
Description: tRNA-Gly
Source: RNAcentral